GGGAACUGAAACAUCUAAGUACCCCGAGGAAGAGAAAUCAACCGAGAUUCCGAAAGUAGCGGCGAGCGAAAUUGGAUUAGCCCUUAAGCUUUUAAUGAUGCAGGUGAAGAGUCUGGAAAGUCUCGCAGUAAAGGGUGAUAGCCCCGUAACCGACACAUCAUAAUCAGUGAAAACGAGUAGGGCGGGACACGUGAUAUCCUGUCUGAAUAUGGGGGGACCAUCCUCCAAGGCUAAAUACUACUGACUGACCGAUAG
Molecule: ribosomal RNA, 255 nt
Filed under: Vibrio sp. OPT18
Lineage: Bacteria; Pseudomonadati; Pseudomonadota; Gammaproteobacteria; Vibrionales; Vibrionaceae
Description: partial 23S ribosomal RNA
Rfam family: Bacterial large subunit ribosomal RNA
Source: RNAcentral